AAUUAAUUCAACAUCGAGGUCGCAAACAUAAUUAUUAAUAAGAACUUGUUAAAUAUAUUACGCUGUUAUCCCUAGAGUAACUUCUUAAAUAACCAUUUUAAUACCAAUUAAAAAUCCUUAUCUUCAAUUAUUGCCCCAAUCAAAAAUUUUAAAAUUUUAAGCUUCUAGGGUCUUCUCGUCCCAAAAACUAAUAAAAGAAUUUUUACUUUUAAUUUAAAUUCAAAAUAAUUAAAUAAAACCUACCUUUAAAAUUUCUACCUUUCAUUCCAGACCCCAAUUAAAGAA
This 285-nucleotide ribosomal RNA is filed under the name Ubatubesia amplicoxae. RNAcentral describes it as "partial large subunit ribosomal RNA". The record is from RNAcentral. Lineage: Eukaryota; Metazoa; Arthropoda; Arachnida; Opiliones; Gonyleptidae.